CCCGCUCGAGCAUCAUUCAAGGUCGCAGAGAGCACACUGCUGGUCGGUGCCGGGUUGUUUCCUCUGGGAAUAGAGAGGGCAGGCAGGGCAUUCUGGCGUCACCCCAGGGCAUCGGAUUUCCACUUCAGGAGUGGAGAUGGAGAGCGACCGCAUUACAGCCGUGCGUAAUUGGCCGACUCCAACCACGGGUAUCAGCCGGUUCUGGCUCCUUGGCAUCAGAGCCAGACCGAGGCCCCUGCGGUGGACAAUUGGUUUCGGCACGCUGAGGAGACCUGGGAGGCAGCCCACGUUCACCUUCAACAGUGUUCGCACCAGGGGACAGGGUCUGGCUCUCGACCCGAAACCUGCCCCUUCGCCUACUCUGCCGGAAGCUGGGUCCGCGGUUUGUGGGGCCGUUUAAAGUCCUGAGGAGAGUGAACGAGGUAUGUUAUAGGUUACAACUACCCACUCAUUACCGUAUUAACCCCUUGUUCCAUGUGUCUCUCCUCAGGCCGACGGUUGCUGGCACGCUCCAGGAGGCUGAAGUGCGUAAUAUUCCUCCGCCUCCUCUAGACAUCGAGG
Molecule: long non-coding RNA, 561 nt
Organism: Oncorhynchus tshawytscha (Chinook salmon)
Lineage: Eukaryota; Metazoa; Chordata; Actinopteri; Salmoniformes; Salmonidae
Source: Ensembl